This 618-nucleotide unclassified non-coding RNA is filed under the name Hevea brasiliensis (rubber tree). The record is from RNAcentral. Lineage: Eukaryota; Viridiplantae; Streptophyta; Magnoliopsida; Malpighiales; Euphorbiaceae.
GAUCAUAAUUCUCUUAAGUCAAAGGCUUGAGGGCUCUUUAGAUAUAAUGGUAAUAAUUCUCUUAAGUCCAAGGCUACCAAGCCCAAGAUGACACCCAAAUAAAAUGCACCAUUGAAUUACUCGCCAUUCACUUGUAUCAUACUUUUGAGUAAAGAUAAUAUUUAGUCAUAAUACUAACGUAGAGAGUUGAACGAGAUGGGAGAAGACUAUCUCAUUAAGCUAACUACCUGAUUGAGAAUUUAACGCUUCUCUUUUUCCAAGUAAAAAAUUUAUUCAUAAGAAUAGUAAUGUUCUGCAAAUUAUAUUGAGUUCAAUGUGAAGGAUGGAUACUUCUAUGCUUCCUACCACCCUUUGCAGGCAUGAUUACUUUCCUGAGAAAGAAGCAAGUGCAGCAAAAGAACGGGUGUGAUAACCUUCAAAGGCCUACAUUGACAUGAUCCAGUGUUGUCUGCUUUUCGCGUAUGUUCAAGUAAUUAUGUUUUCAUCUGUGAAUAGCUAAAUUUGCGUAGUAGCUUGAUUGUGACUACCAAUUGUGAAUUUAUUAUAUUUUGUUAAAGAGUUGUUUGAUGAAUAGAAUUAUUUAUCGCUGUAUAAUUUAUUAAUUGUUAUUUAAUAGAU